UAUGCUAAUACGGGAUAAUAUAUUUGAGAGGCAUCUCUUGAAUAUCAAAGGUGAGCCAGUACAGGAUGGACCCGCGUCUGAUUAGCUAGUUGGUAAGGUAACGGCUUACCAAGGCGACGAUCAGUAGCCGACCUGAGAGGGUGAUCGGCCACAUUGGAACUGAGACACGGUCCAAACUCCUACGGGAGGUAGCAGUGGGGAAUAUUGCACAAUGGGCGAAAGCCUGAUGCAGCAACGCCGCGUGAGUGAUGAAGGCCUUCGGGUCGUAAAACUCUGUCCUCAAGGAAGAUAAUGACGGUACUUGAGGAGGAAGCCCCGGCUAACUACGUGCCAGCAGCCGCGGUAAUACGUAGGGGGCUAGCGUUAUCCGGAUUUACUGGGCGUAAAGGGUGCGUAGGCGGUCUUUCAAGUCAGGAGUGAAAGGCUACGGCUCAACCGUAGUAAGCUCUUGAAACUGGGAGACUUGAGUGCAGGAGAGGAGAGUGGAAUUCCUAGUGUAGCGGUGAAAUGCGUAGAUAUUAGGAGGAACACCAGUUGCGAAGGCGGCUCUCUGGACUGUAACUGACGCUGAGGCACGAAAGCGUGGGGAGCAAACAGGAUUAGAUACCCUGGUAGUCCACGCUGUAAACGA
This 631-nucleotide ribosomal RNA is filed under the name uncultured bacterium. RNAcentral's name for it is "bacterial SSU rRNA". It matches the Rfam family "Bacterial small subunit ribosomal RNA", at positions 159 to 809 of the family's 1533-position model. The record is from RNAcentral.